AAGAGAACACAGCUGAUCCAAUGUUGAAACAGUACCCAGUUGUGGAUUUUAAGUCCUCGACGCAUCCUCCGUAAUUGCUGUCAGAGUAUCCAAUUAACCUUGGUUCCUCAACGGUAGAGUAAUACAUUCCCAUAUCAACAGUCCCUCUGAUGUAUCUAAGAACUCUCUUUGCUUCAUUAAGGUGCUUGACUCUAGGUUCCUUAAGAUACCUUGAAAGAUAAGAUGCAGCAAAUGUCAGAUCGGGACGAGUUGCAGUCAAGUACAGUAGGCCUCCAACAAGACUUCGAUAAACUAUGCAGUCUGUAAGUUCUCCUUUUUCUUCUUCGUGUUUGCUUUGAGGUAUGAGAGGAGUGUUCACAGCUCUGCAGUUUUCCAUGUUGAACUUCUUUAACAAUUUCUUUGCAUAACACUCUUGUGACAGAAAGAAUCCUUCCGAUUCUUGGAUAAUCUCCAUACCCAAGAAAUAGUUCAACAGUCCAAGGUCAGACAUUUCAAACUCAUUCUUCAUCACCAUCUUGAAUUCUUCAAUCAUAUUCAAGUCGUCACCUGUCACAAUAAGAUCAUCAACAUAUAUGCAUACCACUAGUAAUUUUCCUUCGAUUUCUUUUGUGAAUAGAGCAUGAUCAUUAUCACUCCUUUUGAAGUUUUCCCGGUUGAAGAAUUCUUCAAUGCGGCUAUACCACGCCCUCGGAGCCUGUUUUAGACCAUAAAGAGCCUUAUGCAAACGGAACACACAAUCUUCCUUUCCUUCUUCUUCAAAACCAGGUGGUUGUUCUGCAUAUAUUUCUUCUUCUAAUGUUCCAUUCAAGAAAGCAGAUUUAACGUCUAGUUGAAACAGUUUCCAUUUCCUUUGAGCCGCAACAGCAAGAAUUAACCUGAUAGUUUCAUGUCUUGACACAUGAGCAAAGGUUUCAUGAUAGUCAACCCCAUAUUGCUUUGUGUCUCACCACAUUUCCUUGAGCAUCAGUUUUUAAUCUGAAUAUCCACUUGACUCCUACCACAUUCUUGUCAGAAGGUCUUUCGAGAAGCUCCCAUGUUUGAUUUUUCUCAAUGGUUUGAAUCUCAUCUACCAUUGCAAGUCUCCAUUCCUUGUGUUUUGCGGCUUCCUCAAAUACAGCAGGUUCCUCUUCGAUGCCAACAUAGCAGCUUUCACAAGAUCCAGAAUAUUCAACAUUAGCAUAAGGGGCAUUCAAGAGGAUAUCUUCAAUAGUUCUGGUUUUCUUGUUUUGCAGGUUUGAGUCACUUUCUGGGCUGUCGAGGUUUAAGCUCAAUGGACUCGGAAGAGUACGUCUUUUCCCUAUAUCUUCAUUGUCCUUUAAUGAUGUCUCUCCAGUUGUUGGGUUUUCUUCUUCAUCCUUUGACUCGCUUGAUAGGUCAUAGGUUUUUGUAACUUCCUUCUUAUCCCAAUUCCACUUGCUUCCCUCAUCAAAUAUGACGUCUCUUGAGAUGUCAAUCUUGUUUUCUUCCAGCAGGUACAGUCUAUAUCCUUUUGUUUGAGAGCUGUAUCCUACAAAUAUACCUCUCUUUGACUUGUCAUCCCAUUUCUUCCUUUUUUCGUCUGGAAUGUGGACAUAACAUAUACUCCCAAACACUCUCAUGUGUUCCAACGAUGGUUUAGUUCCAUCCCAUGCUUCAAUAGGGGUAAUACUUUCUAAGGCUCUUGUUGGGGUUCGAUUCUGGACGUACGUAGCAACGUGAACUGCAUCAGCCCAAAAUUUUAGAGGUAAUCCCUGGCUUUGAUCAUAGCUCUUGCCAUUUCAACUAAGCUUCUGUUUCUUCUUUCUGAAACUCCAUUUUGUUGUGGAGAAUAUUCAGCAGUGAGUUGUCUUUCUAUUCCAUUUUCUUCAAGAAAUUCUGUGAACUCUUUUGAAAGAUACUCAGAUCCUCUGUCGGUUCGAAGCUUCUUGAUUUUGCAGUUUGAGUUAUUUUCAACAAGACUCUUAAACUUUCUAAAUGUUUGAAAGACCUCAGACUUGGCUCUCAGAAAAUAAAUCCAAACCAUUCUUGUUGCAUCAUCAAUAAAUGUGAGAAUGUACCUGUUUCCAUUUAUUGACAAGUUCUGCAUUGGUCCACAUAAGUCGCUGUGAAUUAGCUCCAGUUUCACUCUUGCUCUGGUCUUAGAUUCCUUCGGAAAGGGAUCACGAGAAUGCUUGCUUAGAAUGCAUGAUUCACAUUUUUCUGCUUCUACUUUGAACUUUGGUAAGCCGACCACCAUGUCUUUUGAUUGCAUAAUCUUCAGAUUUGAAUAUCCAGUGUGCCCGAGCCUCUUAUGCCAAAUUGUUGCAUCUUCAUUCUUAGCCAUCAUUGCAGUUUCUUCACUUGCUUGCCACUUUAUGUGAAAACUUUUGUUUCUCAUCGGAACUUCUCCGAUUUUUCUUCUUGUCCUAUCAUGAAUGAUGCAUUUAUUUUCUUUGAAGGUGACUUGGUAACCAUUGGAGAUCAUCUGCGGCACACUUAGGAGAUUUUUUCCCAGCUUAGGUACAAGGAAGACAUCUCGUAUGACUCUUUUCCCUUUCAUUGUCAUCACUUCAAUAUCUCCCUUUCCUUUAGUUAUGAGUGCAACACCAUUCCCAACUUUAAUAGGGACAUUAACACUUGUGUUUAUUCUGAUGAAGAUCUUCUCGUCUGGAGUCAUGUGAUUAGUGCACCCGCUGUCAAUGAGCCAUGAGUUUUCUUCAUUCAAAUCUUGUUUUUCUUGUCUUGCAACGAACGUAUGAUUCUCUUCUCUUUCAAGUACUGUCUCAGCAGCAAUCUUCGACUCCCACUCUGGUGAGCCCUCUCUUCUCUCCUUGAUAGCUCCUCUGAGCACCAACACAGGUUUUCCAGUUUCUUCACACAUCUUCACAACGUUAGGUUCCAUGAAUCAGCUAGUGCUCUGAUACCAUGUUGAAAAGCUUGUAGAAUCACAGAAAAAUAGCAAGAUCAAAUUUAGACAAAGAUUUUGAGAGCAAAACAGAGAAAAACGUUUAUCUCUUCAUAUUCCCAUAUCUCUCUCUCAAUAACCAUUUUUCUCUCUUUUAUCCAGAGAGUAUCACAUGCACUCAAGCACCUACAGCUCUCUACAGCCACCCUAGGACUCUACAAAUACAUUGGAACUCAAAAACAAACAACGACAAAGUAAAACACACUCAAACAACUUGAUGGGCCUUCAUACAAACAAAAGCCCAACGAACAAAACACCCAGCCCACAAAUAAGCUUCUUCUCCUUCUUCGACACACCAACGAUGGUUUGUAACACAUAACACAUCACUUAACAAAAAUUCAAGUCUCGAAUCCUGAAGUUGAUCAGAAUACUCAUUAGUCGAUUUACCUUGCUUUCAGGUACUGUUGGGCGUGUAGAUCCCUUGUGUGAACUGAUUGAACUUGUGUUGAAGGUUUCUAGCUCUUUGACGUGUUAUAGGGCCUUCAGGUAUGUAUGGAACCUCAAUCUCCAGCCUUUGGUUUACUUCCAUGUCCUCCAAAUCUUGGUCUGAUUCGAUGUCCGCAUCACUUGUAGAUGUGAAUAUUAGGAAUGGUACAAUCUUUUGGUUUGUUACUUUUGUUUAUGGCAAUUCUGUGACCAAUUUGAAAGAUUUGGUUUGGGAAAUAAUGAAUACAAUUGGUUAUUUCAAUGAGAUGUUAUCUAAUGAGGAAAAGCUAGGUGAUCUUCAAAGACAAACUUCCUAUAACAUUUGCAGACUCUCUUGAAGAAUUGUGAUAUGUAUGAAUUAGAAAGUUUUGAUAAUGG
This 3727-nucleotide long non-coding RNA is filed under the name Arabidopsis lyrata. Its description in RNAcentral is "long non-coding RNA (ALYR_LNC000512)". Lineage: Eukaryota; Viridiplantae; Streptophyta; Magnoliopsida; Brassicales; Brassicaceae. The record is from RNAcentral.